GGAGAAACAAACCCGGCGUCUACAGUCGAGUUACGGAGCUGAUCAGCUGGGUGGAAAGAUAUAUAGAGGACAAACCAGAGGAGCUGGAGGAGACAAUCACCUUCAUCACCGACACUCGAAACUGAGACAAGUGACAAUAAAGACGUGAAUCAA
This is a long non-coding RNA of Limanda limanda (common dab), 153 nucleotides long. RefSeq lists it as uncharacterized. The record is from RefSeq and is a predicted model, not a curated record. Lineage: Eukaryota; Metazoa; Chordata; Actinopteri; Pleuronectiformes; Pleuronectidae. The transcript has 2 exons.